UUUCUUUGGGAAGGUUUCUGAGGGAAUGGGUUUCUGCCAGGACCCCGUCCUAUGUCCAUUGUCUUUCUAGCAGCAGUGCUGGCAGGGGCAGGUAUUUGCACUACAGAACUUCUCAGUGAGAGACUUCAUGCAAAGUCAGACGGAGGAGCAGCAGCUCUGCGGAACCCCAGAAAACCUUGCGGACCCUCAGGCCCCAUCCCGGACCCACUGCAUCUGAAGGAGCAUUUUCACAACAUCCCCAGGGUUUAGUGGCUGCCUCUCACACUCUGAGGAUGGAGAAGGUGAAAGCCUUUAGAUCCAGCACCUAGCACAGUGACUGGCACACAGUCAUGGGAUGUUUUGGUGAAAAGUUGUGAAGAGUUACACUGGAGGACUAUAAGAUCCAAUUUUUCUCUUAUCCUCUUUCAACAAAGAAAUCUGCAGAUCCACAGAAUAUUCAUGAAAAUGAUUUUUUUUUUGCUUAACAUCUGCUCCCAUAGCUCUGUCAGCGAGGAAUUCAUCAUUCCCAAAGCAUUCCAUAUGCUUUUCCACUCUGCAUUUACCCAUGCAAUUUCCCCUGGCACAAAUCCUCUUCAUUUUUUGGCCUCUAGCAACUAAAGAACAGGAUGUUUCGAUCCUCCUCUUGUUUUGAGCCUGAGGACACUGUGACUCCAUGUUUCUGAGUAAAAACAUUCUAAUCAGAAUCAUGCCAGCAUUGAUGAAAUUUUAUGAAGAACAUAUUUUUCUGAGCAAAUUGAAAUCAAUUUAAUCCCUUGAUAUCAAUUUUCUACAUAAUUCAGGUAAAAUAUUUCUAGCAUUUUUUAUUUGCUUUUACUUUCAUCUGGAAAAUGUUUAUUCAUGAAAAAAUGUCACCAUGAAGAUUUAUUUUAAAAUUUAUCCAAAUAAAAUUUUAAAAAUUUUAA
Long non-coding RNA from Hipposideros armiger (great roundleaf bat), 902 nucleotides. RefSeq lists it as uncharacterized. The transcript has 3 exons. Lineage: Eukaryota; Metazoa; Chordata; Mammalia; Chiroptera; Hipposideridae. The record is from RefSeq and is a predicted model, not a curated record.